GUAAUGUUUGUUUAUUAGCAGAAUGUGGUGCAACAUGCAGGAGAGAUAAAAAUCAGGUUGAGAAACCAGGUUCACAGUGUCAGCGUCAUUUCAAAUAAAGGGGAAGAUUCCAGGAUCCAGCCUGCCUUGGAAGCUAGAACAUCUAAACUGACAAUACUGCAGCAGUAUGUGCUAAUCCUAGAUUGCAAAGUUUCUUUAUGAGUCUCAUGAUCUUCCCACAAUCUUUUAUGGCAAAUCCCAAAUGUGCAUGUAGGGAUUGUGUUGCUGUAGUGUUCACACCAGAUUCCUUUAAUAGGAGAAGGUAACACUUAAAAAAAAUACAGAGGCUACCUGAACAUUUUGUGCAAUACCUGUAUCUUCUUAGGUUCAAGAAAGGUAAUGGAACAUAUAUGAAAUACAGAUGGUCACACUUAAGCCAUACUGUAUUUUAAAAAUAAUGGGGGGGGGUUUGUUCUGUAGAGGUGCGUUCGUACAUUGAAGCAUUAGUUCCCAUAGGAACUAAUGCAAAGCUGGUUAAUACGUACUCUACCACUAGGGGGAGAAUUUUUUUUAACCUAAAAUGACCUAAGGUUAAAAAAAGAGCAGGAAAGGUUUUUUUUUUUCCUGUUCUUAUCUUGGAUUUCUGUUCUCAAGUAGAAGCAAAAUUUAGCAAAUGGAGCUGUUCUUAAGUUGGAUUGUUCUUAAGUAGGGACGUUCUUAAGUAGAGACCCCACUGUACUUCAAAGUAAGUGCUGCAGCUGAAUGUUAGAUCUUCAGCAAGGCCUAUAUGGUGCAUGAUUAGAAUCAUAUCCUCAAGACCAACAGGCUCUGUGGUUUAUCAGUGUUUUGUGAUCUAUCUUGACUAUAAAAUCAUAAAUCAGCCUUGCACGGAGUUAGCCAAUUGAGGCUGAAGUUACUGUUCUUGCCAAUCACACAGGGAAACAUUUGUUAGCUUGAAAGGGAAGAACUCACUUGUUCAACUGUCAGUGUAUCACAGAUGGUUAACAUACGACUGGUUAGACUGACAAGUAACUAUAGGGACCAAUCUGCAGGAUGUCAGUUAAGCGAUCAAGAUCCAUUUCAACUCAAACAGUUGUCAAUUGCUGUGUCACCUGUGACCUAUGCAGCUAUAGCCCACUGGAUGGGAGAAGAGACUCAAAUGGCCUGCUCCAAAUCUGAUGGCAUCGCUGAUAUAGUACAGCCCUUAGAGAACAUUUUUUAAAAAGAGCCUAUUCUAUACAUAAGAUAGUCAUGUUUUAUUGAAGCUCCUGACUUCCAGAAGCCAUUGGCAAGGUCUGCCAUUGCCAGUUGAUCAUUAAGAAGACAAAUAUCACGUCUACAGAAUUAUGUAACUUUAAUGUUGACAGUAAAGAAACUGAAACUGUUAACCAUUUUGUAUACUUUGGUUGUUUCAUUGAUCAAACUGAGACUGCAUCCAAGGAAUAAAAAAAAAGAAUGAGACUUGAAAGGGCA
This 1452-nucleotide long non-coding RNA is filed under the name Pogona vitticeps (central bearded dragon). RNAcentral's name for it is "lncRNA (ENSPVIG00000015238.1)". Lineage: Eukaryota; Metazoa; Chordata; Lepidosauria; Squamata; Agamidae. The record is from RNAcentral.